UUUAUGUUUAAUUAAAUACUUUUAUCUAUUAAUUUUUUAUAAAAAGAUCCGUCGAUCUGGGAGAGGGUUGAAACAUAUAAAGCAGGAUUGUAAAUAGUGCAAAAAUAAAAAAUUGUUAAUUUUACUGUACAACGGGGCCUAAAAUUAAUAUCGGAGUAUAAUAAUUUAUCAAUGAAAGAGGAAGAAAAUAAACAAUAUGUUCUACGAAUAUGCAAGAUGCUGAGGUAUAGAUAAUUCAGAGACACUCGAGCUCACAGUAUUC
RNAcentral lists this unclassified non-coding RNA (262 nucleotides) under Bombus terrestris (buff-tailed bumblebee). Its description in RNAcentral is "misc RNA ENSBTSG00005031549.1". Lineage: Eukaryota; Metazoa; Arthropoda; Insecta; Hymenoptera; Apidae. The record is from RNAcentral.